Molecule: unclassified non-coding RNA, 247 nt
Filed under: soil metagenome
Description: partial internal transcribed spacer 1
Source: RNAcentral
ACCAAUGAUUAGGAACCAGUUGAGGGUUGAUAGAUCUCCUGGUUGCUAAAAUCAAAUACCCAUCUUUGUGCACCUUUUUUUAUGUCUCUGGUGGGUCGCAAGAGAAGUCUCUUAUUUGGAGGAUCUCUUCUAGUUCAUUUUGAUCCUCGGACAAAUGAAUGAAGCCACCAAAUGGUUUGCUAUAACACACUUUUUUGCCGGUCCAAAAUAUCUGUCUAACAUUGAUUUUGUGUAAAAUACAUAAAAA